Molecule: ribosomal RNA, 714 nt
Filed under: Cymbella tumida
Lineage: Eukaryota; Bacillariophyta; Bacillariophyceae; Cymbellales; Cymbellaceae
Description: SSU rRNA
Rfam family: Eukaryotic small subunit ribosomal RNA
Source: RNAcentral
UUUUCUAAGGAAAAGGCAGCAGGCGCGUAAAUUACCCAAUCCUGACACAGGGAGGUAGUGACAAUAAAUAACAAUGCUGGGCCCUUGUGGUUUGGCACUUGGAAUGAGUACAACUCAAAUCCAUUAACGAGAAUCAAUUGGAGGGCAAGUCUGGUGCCAGCAGCCGCGGUAAUUCCAGCUCCAAUAGCGUAUAUUAAAGUUGUUGCAGUUAAAAAGCUCGUAGUUGAAUAUCUGAUGGAAUGAAAACACCUCCUAGGUAUUUUCAGACUGUCUCUGUAGGUGAAAUUUGUUUGGCAUUAGGUUGUCAUUCAAAGGACGUCUACCCUUUACUGUGAAAAAAUCAGUGCGUUCAAAGCAGGCUUACGCCGUUGAAUGUAUUAGCAUGGAAUAAUAAGAUAGGACUUUUUGACUAUUUUGUUGGUUUAUGUUAAAAGGUAAUGAUUAACAGGAACGGCCGGGGGUAUAGGUAUUCCAGAGUCAGAGGUGAAAUUCUUGGAUUUUUGGAAGACUAACUACUGCGAAAGCAUUUACCAAGAAUGUUUUCAUUAAUCAAGAACGAAAGUUAAGGGAUCGAAGAUGAUUAGAUACCAUCGUAGUCUUAACCAUAAACUAUGCCGACUAGGGAUUGGUGGGGUUUCGUAAUGUCCCCAUCAGCACCUUAGGAGAAAUCAAAGUCUUUGGGUUCCGGGGGGAGUAUGGUCGCAAGAACUGAAA